This 65-nucleotide transfer RNA is filed under the name Zygeupolia rubens. Its description in RNAcentral is "tRNA-Trp". Lineage: Eukaryota; Metazoa; Nemertea; Pilidiophora; Heteronemertea; Lineidae. The record is from RNAcentral.
AAACUUUUAAGUUAAUAAAAACUGUAAGCCUUCAAAGUUUAUAAUAGCUGUUUUGCUAAAGUUUG